Hyaena hyaena (striped hyena) is the source of this 1267-nucleotide long non-coding RNA. RefSeq lists it as uncharacterized. The record is from RefSeq and is a predicted model, not a curated record. Lineage: Eukaryota; Metazoa; Chordata; Mammalia; Carnivora; Hyaenidae. The transcript is spliced from 4 exons.
CCCUGUGCUCCCUUUCAUCCCUUCUGAAAAUAACAAGAUGGAAACCUGAGCUGUCGGCACCGGGGACCUGCCAGAUUCCAGCGUGCGUAUGACCAAGAGAGGGACUGGCCAGCCUGAAGUUAAGUACUUGGACCCUACCCACCCUCAGAGGCUGAGUCUUCAUCGGUCUAGGCCGAUUGCGGUGGGCUCACCUCACCUCGGGAUUGUCGAAGCAUGGAUAGACCGUGCCGAUUCUGGCCAGUGGGACAUAGGGGACAACCGAUGGAGUGACACAAGACGGGGGCCUUCUCUUUUCUCUUUCUGAGGAUGGUUUUUGGCACAUGAGGCCUGACUACAGCAGAUCUUGGGACUGUGGAAGAAAGCUGCAGAGUCGCUAAUCUAGAAGCAUGAUGUUUCUGUGUCAGUGAAUUAACCCACUCCAAAACUCUCCUACCUCCAAACUGUAUAUGAUGCAAAGUAAUAAACAUCCUUACGCUGUAGGGCCCCAGUGGUUAGAUCUCCUACCCCUUGCUGGCAUCUUACAUAGCCUCUGUUUGGAAAGGGGAAGCUGAGGUUGGUCGGGCAAGUCAAAACAAAAAGCACCUUCUCUUCUAACAUGUGAUGGGAAAGGAAGCAGCCAUGUUUGACUGGUAGUUCUGGAAGACUCUCAGGGAGUCUUCUCUGCUCAUCCUCUCCAAAGAGCUGGUACUGGUGGGAAACCUACUUCCUAAGGUUGAGCCAGUUCAAAAAGAGAAGACACCCAAGGGACAGCAGAGAAGGUUUUCUCACAUCCGACAGGAGGCAGAAAUUUUUGUCCACACUUCCUGCACACCAAGAAGAGACUCCAGCCACGUGUUAACUAUUCCUGGCUAUUUUUGCACAAACGUGAUCUCCAAGUGUGACCCUCAUCUUGCCAAGUCAAAACAGAGAGGCCUGCAGCUUAUCCAGAUUAGCUAUAGAAGAUGCGUUCGCUCCAGUUUUAUUCAACUCCAAGGCCGACAACACAUUUCGAGUUUGGAAAGCCAUCCGAUGAAUUUGCCUGAUGAAGUGUUGCCGAAAUUACAUGAUUAAAAACAGAGUGUAAUGAAACUCUUUCAUGUUGGAAACGGAAAGCCACUUGACAUUAAUUUUUCCCCAAUUAAUCAUCUUCCUUUUCCCACAGGGCUAUCUGUGCCGGGGCUGAGGGGAGGUAGGAGUGCCGAGUCCUUGGCACCGCUGGCUGCCUCCCACUUGGCAGCCACGAGCCACACUCUGCCUUGCGGAUGGAAAGGACUGGGUUCAGGGGUGG